Molecule: ribosomal RNA, 278 nt
Filed under: uncultured bacterium
Lineage: Bacteria
Description: partial 16S ribosomal RNA
Rfam family: Bacterial small subunit ribosomal RNA
Source: RNAcentral
UCCUACGGGGCGCAGCAGUAGGGAAUUUUCGUCAAUGGGCGCAAGCCUGAACGAGCAAUGCCGCGUGAACGAGGAAGGUCUUCGGAUCGUAAAGUUCUGUUGAAGGGGAAAAAGAGCGGAGAGAGGAAAUGAACUCCGAUUGAUAUUACCCUUCGAGGAAGUCACGGCUAACUACGUGCCAGCAGCCGCGGUAAUACGUAGGUGGCGAGCGUUAUCCGGAAUGAUUGGGCGUAAAGGGAGCGUAGGCGGCCUGCUAAGUCUGGAGAGAAAGGUACCGG